RNAcentral lists this small nuclear RNA (164 nucleotides) under Monodon monoceros (narwhal). RNAcentral describes it as "U1 spliceosomal RNA (ENSMMNG00015000749.1)". It matches the Rfam family "U1 spliceosomal RNA". Rfam says of the family: U1 is a small nuclear RNA (snRNA) component of the spliceosome (involved in pre-mRNA splicing). Its 5' end forms complementary base pairs with the 5' splice junction, thus defining the 5' donor site of an intron. There are significant differences in sequence and secondary structure between metazoan and yeast U1 snRNAs, the latter being much longer (568 nucleotides as compared to 164 nucleotides in human). The record is from Rfam by way of RNAcentral. Lineage: Eukaryota; Metazoa; Chordata; Mammalia; Artiodactyla; Monodontidae.
AUACUUACCUGGCAGAGAAAAUACCGUGAUCACGAAGAUGGUUUUCCCAGGGUAAGGUUUAUUCAUUGCACUCUGGGUUUGCUGAUCUCUGCGAUUUCCCCAAGUGUGGGAAACUCGACUGCAAAAUUUGUGUUAGUGGGGGACUGCGUUCGCGCUUUCCCCUG